GAUCAUGGCUCAGGACGAACGCUGGCGGCGUGCCUAAAACAUGCAAGUCGAACGGAGCACCCUGGACAGAGACUUCGGUCAAUAGAAAGGAAUGCUUAGUGGCGGACGGGUGAGUAACGCGUGAGCAACCUACCUCAAAGAGGGGGACAACAGUUGGAAACGACUGCUAAUACCGCAUGAAGUAUAGAAACCGCAUGGUAAUUAUGCCAAAGAUUUAUCGCUUUGAGAUGGGCUCGCGU
RNAcentral lists this ribosomal RNA (239 nucleotides) under uncultured bacterium. RNAcentral's name for it is "partial 16S ribosomal RNA". It matches the Rfam family "Bacterial small subunit ribosomal RNA", at positions 15 to 236 of the family's 1533-position model. The record is from RNAcentral.